Long non-coding RNA from Balaenoptera ricei (Rice's whale), 288 nucleotides. RefSeq lists it as uncharacterized. The transcript is spliced from 3 exons. NCBI's taxonomy places the organism in Eukaryota, Metazoa, Chordata, Mammalia, Artiodactyla, Balaenopteridae. The record is from RefSeq and is a predicted model, not a curated record.
AACCGUUAAAGGCUUCCAAGCAUGAGGGUGACAUGAUGAGAUCUGCGCCUCAAGAAGCAAGAAACCAACUGCCUUUGUACAUCAAUCAAGCAGAAUCGAUUCUGAAGUUUAUCUCUUCACAGGAUAUGACAGGGACCUGCAGCUGAUUCGUGAGCUGCUCCUCGCUCCAGCGAUGCAAUGCUCGGGGAAGAGACCUGUGAGGUGCUGCGAGAUGGGAGGGAUCCAACUGCUCGAGAGAGCGGACUUGCAUCACCACGAAAACACUGAGCACAGACCAGCCUUCGAAGG